GCCCAGCUAGCUCAGUUGGUAGAGCAUAAAACUUUUAAUCUCAAGGUCAUGGGUUUAAGCCCCAUGUUGGGUG
This is a non-coding RNA of Onychomys torridus (southern grasshopper mouse), 73 nucleotides long. The record is from the annotation of a RefSeq genome assembly. Lineage: Eukaryota; Metazoa; Chordata; Mammalia; Rodentia; Cricetidae.